GUAGUCCACGCCCUAAACUAUGUCAACUGGUUGUCGGGGAAGAAAUUCCUUGGUAACGAAGCUAACGCGUGAAGUUGACCGCCUGGGGAGUACGGCCGCAAGGUUAAAACUCAAAGGAAUUGACGGGGACCCGCACAAGCGGUGGAUUAUGUGGAUUAAUUCGAUGCAACGCGAAAAACCUUACCUACCCUUGACAUGUACGGAACCCUCCAGAGAUGGAGGGGUGCCCGAAAGGGAGCCGUAACACAGGUGCUGCAUGGCUGUCGUCAGCUCGUGUCGUGAGAUGUUGGGUUAAGUCCCGCAACGAGCGCAACCCUUGCCAUUAGUUGCUACAUUCAGUUGGGCACUCUAAUGGGACUGCCGGUGACAAACCGGAGGAAGGUGGGGAUGACGUCAAGUCCUCAUGGCCCUUAUGGGUAGGGCUUCACACGUAAUACAAUGGCCGGUACAGAGGGCUGCCAACCCGCGAGGGGGCGCAAAUCCCAGAAAGCCGGUCGUAGUCCGGAUUGCAGUCUGCAACUCGACUGCAUGAAGCCGGAAUCGCUAGUAAUCGCGGAUCAGCACGUCGCGGUGAAUA
RNAcentral lists this ribosomal RNA (577 nucleotides) under uncultured Oxalobacteraceae bacterium. RNAcentral's name for it is "bacterial SSU rRNA". It matches the Rfam family "Bacterial small subunit ribosomal RNA", at positions 790 to 1368 of the family's 1533-position model. The record is from RNAcentral. Lineage: Bacteria; Pseudomonadati; Pseudomonadota; Betaproteobacteria; Burkholderiales; Oxalobacteraceae.